This 527-nucleotide long non-coding RNA is filed under the name Panax ginseng (ginseng). RNAcentral describes it as "long non-coding RNA (PGIN_LNC008036)". Lineage: Eukaryota; Viridiplantae; Streptophyta; Magnoliopsida; Apiales; Araliaceae. The record is from RNAcentral.
UAAAUGUUAAGUCCCACAUUGAAAGUGGGAUACAAGUAUAAGGAUGAUAUCCUUAUAGAAUGACUUGCUAGUAUGACCCAACUAAAGAUCUUAUGCUGGAUAGGUCGCAGGCCUUUUUAAGUUGCAGACUAGUCCCAGGCUUCAAUCAAGGCCGGUCCAGGCUAUAACUCGGGCCGCAGGCCAGGCCGGGCCAGGCUUUUUGGAAGGCUAGGCCGGGCUCGGAUAUGAGCCAUUAAUUCAUGGUCUGUUCUAGGUCUAGCAGGCCGGGCCUGACCGGUCCAGACUUUGACUUGGCCGAGCUUUGACAAGGUCGGGCUUAGGCCGGAUCAAGGCCAGGCUACAUGUCGUAGGCCAUUUGUGCACCACUAGACCACUCUUACCCCCUUAUAAAUUUGUCCCAAUCAAUAUAAUCUUGUUUUCUUUAUGCAUUGUAAUCUCGAUUUUUUUUGGAGGGGCUUGAUAAUCCUCGUAAUUCAACGAGUGAUGAAAUUAAAUAAAUAAAUAAUUGAAGUAAAAUAUUCUCACUC